AGCAGCCGCGGUAAUUCCAGCUCCAAUAGCGUAUAUUAAAGUUGUUGCAGUUAAAAAGCUCGUAGUUGAAUUUCGGGAUUGACGUGAUGGUCGUGCCUUACGGGGUAUGAACUGUUGCAGUAAAUUUCUCACCUUCUGGAGAAAUAUGAUGUCCUUAAUUGGGUGUCAUGUGGAACCAGAACUUUUACCUUGAAAAAUUAGAGUGUUUAAAGCAGGCUUAUUGCUCGAAUACAUUAGCAUGGAAUAAUAAAAUAGGACGGCAUGGUUCUAUUUUGUUGGUUUCUAGGAUCACCGUAAUGAUUAAUAGGGAUAGUUGGGGGCAUUAGUAUUCAAUUGUCAGAGGUGAAAUUCUUGGAUUUAUUGAAGACUAACUACUGCGAAAGCAUUUGCCAAGGAUGUUUUCAUUAAUCAAGAACGAAAGUUAGGGGAUCGAAGACGAUCAGAUACCGUCGUAGUCUUAACCAUAAACUAUGCCGACUAGGAAUCAGACGAUGUUAAUUUUUU
RNAcentral lists this ribosomal RNA (504 nucleotides) under uncultured Entrophospora. Its description in RNAcentral is "SSU rRNA". It matches the Rfam family "Eukaryotic small subunit ribosomal RNA", at positions 569 to 1072 of the family's 1831-position model. Lineage: Eukaryota; Fungi; Glomeromycota; Glomeromycetes; Entrophosporales; Entrophosporaceae. The record is from RNAcentral.